GGUCGCGUAGCUCAGCUGGAUAGAGCAUCUGCCUUCUAAGCAGACGGUCGCAGGUUCGAAUCCUGCCGCGAUCACAA
Molecule: transfer RNA, 77 nt
Filed under: Flagellimonas maritima
Lineage: Bacteria; Pseudomonadati; Bacteroidota; Flavobacteriia; Flavobacteriales; Flavobacteriaceae
Also listed under: 2 other names
Description: tRNA-Arg
Rfam family: tRNA
About the family: Transfer RNA (tRNA) molecules are approximately 80 nucleotides in length. Their secondary structure includes four short double-helical elements and three loops (D, anti-codon, and T loops). Further hydrogen bonds mediate the characteristic L-shaped molecular structure. tRNAs have two regions of fundamental functional importance: the anti-codon, which is responsible for specific mRNA codon recognition, and the 3' end, to which the tRNAs corresponding amino acid is attached (by aminoacyl-tRNA synthetases). tRNAs cope with the degeneracy of the genetic code in two manners: having more than one tRNA (with a specific anti-codon) for a particular amino acid; and 'wobble' base-pairing, i.e. permitting non-standard base-pairing at the 3rd anti-codon position.
Source: RNAcentral